AUGACUUCCGGAUUCAAGGAUCAGAUUCAUCUAUCUCAACCUGAGUGUCCGGAGGGAGGAACGCUGAAGUUUCAAGGAAGACGGUCUAGAGACCCCACCACCUCAGGGUGGUACCGCUGGAGAAUGAGACAUGGCUCCCACUUCUCACAGAAGCCCUCUGCAUCAAUCGCCCACACAUCCAUCAGACCGGUGAAAAAUACCUCCAGAAAAUUUGAACCAGAAUCUUGAACUCUAAAGAGUUAAUGUAACAUUUAUUAAAGAAGCA
This 265-nucleotide long non-coding RNA is filed under the name Canis lupus familiaris (dog). RNAcentral's name for it is "lncRNA (ENSCAFG00000059203.1)". The record is from RNAcentral. Lineage: Eukaryota; Metazoa; Chordata; Mammalia; Carnivora; Canidae.